CUCUGCGAUCUCCCCGCUCUGCCCGCGGCUCCGCCCGGCCUCCAGCGGCUGCCCAGGGCCCUCCCGCGCCAGCGGGCGGGCGCGCUUCGGAUUGGUCGCAGCCCCGCAAAGGCAGCCAGUUCGGGUCGAGCUCCCCUCUCCCGCCCCCCACUCCCGCCCCCAGCCCUUUGUACAGGGAUUGCGACAAGCAGAAGCAGAGGGUGAAAGGAGUUGGGGUUAGAGGGAGGGAGUGAGGGCGCGCCGGCGAAGCAGGAGGGACUGGGGUGUUAGUAGCAAAGACCAGGGAAGACCCGGAGGCUGAGACUUGGGGGCCGGGGGCGAGCAUCGGAGCCUCCUGCUCCGGUCCUUCCAUCCUAUGAAGUCAGUGGCUAGCACGGGAGACUGGUCUCUGUGCCUUCGUGGGCUGCCGUUGAGGAGCUGCAAAAGCGAGAAGUGAAUAACUCGCGGUUCGGGACAAGGGCUCUAGAGUUCCUGCCCGCCUGCUGCAGCGGCGCCCAGAGCCACCGAACACCCUCUCUCCCUUCCUUGGCUGCGCUCUCUGACCUCGGUGCUUGUCUCGGCCCCGCAGGCCCAGCAACUGCGCAAUCACGCGGCAGGGCGGGGGAUACCGCACCCGACUGGAGAGGGCCAGGGCCAGGGCGAGGGCCAGAGCGGCCGUCGAGUCCCGGACGAGAGUUUGCGGCGGGAGGUUGCUUCUUCCCUUACAGGGCGCUGUCCGAUUGACGACCGCGGCCCACCCGGAGCGAGGCUCCUUGAGAGCUUGGCCUCACAUAGAGGAAAUCCUCAAUAACGUUCCCCAGGAAGAAGAAACAGGCCCAAGCCUCCCCCAAUAAUUUUGGGCAGGACACCUCAAGCCCCACACUCUACACUCGUCCCUGUCAUUCCUCAAAAUCCUGAAGAGCUAGCGCCCUGCUGCUGGAGAGGAUCCCACCCAGGCACUACUGCUGCGCUCCGCAGGCUGCAAAGACGCGUCAGGACGAAUCCUCCAGCAAGGGGGAGGUGGUCUCCGCCCGCCCAGCGACUCGACGCUCUCCAGCAGCGCUCGCACACCC
This is a long non-coding RNA of Marmota monax (woodchuck), 1052 nucleotides long. RefSeq lists it as uncharacterized. Lineage: Eukaryota; Metazoa; Chordata; Mammalia; Rodentia; Sciuridae. The record is from RefSeq and is a predicted model, not a curated record. The transcript is spliced from 3 exons.